UACAGAGGGUGCGAGCGUUAAUCGGCAUUACUGGGCGUAAAGGGUGCGUAGGCGGAUGUUUAAGUUAGAUGUGAAAUCCCUAGGCUUAACCUGGGAAUGGCAUUUAAUACUGGACGUCUGGAGUAGAGUAGAGGGAAGUGGAAUUUCCGGUGUAGCGGUGAAAUGCGUAGAUAUCGGAAAGAACAUCAGUGGCGAAGGCGGCUUCCUGGACUCAUACUGACGCUGAGGCACGAAAGCAUGGGGAGCAAACAGG
Molecule: ribosomal RNA, 253 nt
Filed under: uncultured bacterium
Lineage: Bacteria
Description: partial 16S ribosomal RNA
Rfam family: Bacterial small subunit ribosomal RNA
Source: RNAcentral